Molecule: ribosomal RNA, 440 nt
Filed under: uncultured bacterium
Lineage: Bacteria
Description: bacterial SSU rRNA
Rfam family: Bacterial small subunit ribosomal RNA
Source: RNAcentral
AGCGAACGCUGGCGGCAUGCUUAACACAUGCAAGUCGCACGGGCAGUAGCAAUACUGUCAGUGGCGGACGGGUGAGUAACGCGUAGGAAUCUAUCCUUGAAUGGGGGACAACCGUGGGAAACUACGGCUAAUACCGCAUGAUGCCUGAGGGCCAAAGACGAAAGUCGUUUGAGGAGGAGCCUGCGUCUGAUUAGGUAGUUGGUGGGGUAAAGGCCUACCCAAGCCUACGAUCAGUAGCUGGUCUGAGAGGAUGAUCAGCCACAUUGGGACUGAGACACGGCCCAAACUCCUACGGGAGGCAGCAGUGGGGAAUCUUGGACAAUGGGCGCAAGCCUGAUCCAGCAAUGCCGCGUGGGUGAAGAAGGUCUUCGGAUUGUAAAGCCCUUUUGGCGGGGACGAUGAUGACGGUACCCGCAGAAUAAGCUCCGGCUAACUUCGUG